Molecule: transfer RNA, 70 nt
Filed under: Blastocatellia bacterium
Lineage: Bacteria; Pseudomonadati; Acidobacteriota; Blastocatellia
Description: tRNA-Arg
Rfam family: tRNA
About the family: Transfer RNA (tRNA) molecules are approximately 80 nucleotides in length. Their secondary structure includes four short double-helical elements and three loops (D, anti-codon, and T loops).
Source: RNAcentral
UAGCUCAGUUGGAUAGAGCGUUUGACUUCGAAUCAAAAGGUCGCAGGUUCGAGCCCUGCCGCGCGCACCA